GGUUAAGAGGUUGAUCUGGCUGGCUAGUGGACUGUCUCCUUUCUUCCUCACCAUGCCAUGUGCUUCCCUGCAGUAGCUAUGUGCUGGAAGAAAAACCGGCUCCUAACAGAAAAUAAGUCUUGAGUCAAGGGUUUAAGGGUAGCAGCACUCACCUGCUAGAACCUCAAAGCAAACUCUCAGAACUUAAUUUAAUAGUACUCUGAGGACUGAUUCCAAGAAAUGUUGGUAAAAGUUACAGGUUUUUGUUUCCUUUACACU
This 258-nucleotide small nuclear RNA is filed under the name Rattus norvegicus (Norway rat). RNAcentral's name for it is "7SK RNA". It matches the Rfam family "7SK RNA", at positions 51 to 331 of the family's 331-position model. From Rfam's summary of the family: 7SK was discovered as an abundant small nuclear RNA in the mid-70s but a possible function has only recently been suggested. Two independent studies have found that 7SK RNA binds the CDK9/cyclin T complex (known as elongation factor P-TEFb). The record is from Rfam by way of RNAcentral. Lineage: Eukaryota; Metazoa; Chordata; Mammalia; Rodentia; Muridae.